Molecule: long non-coding RNA, 2043 nt
Filed under: Homo sapiens (human)
Lineage: Eukaryota; Metazoa; Chordata; Mammalia; Primates; Hominidae
Description: novel transcript
Source: RNAcentral
GACCCGGAGGCGGGGCCGUCACGUGGGGCAGCGUGGGCCGCUGCCUUGGAAACGCAGAGCGCGCGCUCCAGGGUCUUUUUGGAGUUCCUGAGCUCAGUGCCCCAGAAGGCACAUACUUCAUAUGAAAUAUGAAGGAUUUCAUACUGCACAAGAAAAAGCCUUGAGAAAGACAGAAUUGCUUGUGGACCGUGCGUGUUCCACCCCACCUGGGCCCCAGACCGUGCUGAUCCUUGAUGAGCUCUCGGAUUCCUUGUGCAGAGUGACCGACUUGACACCCAGAGGGUUUGAAAGCAAGAGCCAAGCUGCAUCCAGCACUGAAGGACCACUCUACUUAUUCCUCCCUGAUGUCUUCAGGGAGAGUCUGGCUGUUUCGAAAUGACCAGGCUGGCAGUUGGCUGAGCCAGUCUCUUAGAACCCUUUGAAGCACUGGAUGCAGGCUGAUGAGCUGCCAUAAACGUCUUUGAGUCCCAACACUGCUCAGGAACUGCAUAUCAUACCAAAGUCUGCCUGUGUGAUCCUUUAAUUUGUGAAUGUAAAAACUGAGGUGGGAGGCAAAUACUGAUGUUCUCAAAGACCCGUCUCAGCUAUUCCAUUCAAACAGAGCCCAGAAUCUUCAAAAUUCUGCUUCUUCAGCUUACCUCCUGUCUCAGGCUGGUUCCCCAGAAGCAUCCCAGAGAUGCAGAUUUGUGAGAAAGUGAUGUGUUGGGCAGUGUCCCCUGCAGGGAAGUGAGGAUGCAAGACAGUGAGAAGGAAGCCAAGCAAGAGUGCAAUGUCAAGCAAGGUCCCGUGCUUGCAGGGCACUGGCUCCUCCCACAGAGGAGAUUUGGAGACUGAGAGCCCCUCCCUCCAUUGGUCAAGGGCCAUCUCAGAGGGAUGCAUGUUUCUAGGUAUCCCCCACUCUCUCUGCACACAGGUAAAGGAGACUCCAGAAGCAUGAGGGCAGCCCUCUCACAAAGAAGCAUGGGUUCUGGAUACCGAGAGUAAAAGCAAACGUGGAGCCAAGGGGUGUGAAAAUGGGAAAGGGACCCAAGGAAAUAGAGUAGUGCAUCCACCAUGAGUAAGUGCCACAGUCACUGGGUCAGCACCUGCUGUGUCCAACACCAUGCUAAGUAUCGUGGAGAGGAGAGAAGUUACUAGACUUCCCUGCUGUCAUCCUUAAUGGACUAUUGUCUCUUCCCUAGACACCUCAAACUGGGAUUUAAGGUACAUAAGCUCUCAGAAAUGGCUUCCUGGAAUUAUGGCCAUGAACAUCAGUGAACUGUUAGGGUCCGUAGUUACAUCUGGAAAAUGACUGCCGUUUCAAUACACAGGAUUAGUUACAAUAACAGCAACAGCCAUAAUAAUAAUGUGGCAGAGACUAGCUUGAUGCUCAUCACAUCUCUACCUGGGCACAUAGCAAAGUUUUCUAUUCCAGCUCCCACCCUGGAUCUCGGGUCCUAGUUCUCAACAACGAAAUGCUUCCAAGCCAAGUUAAAGCAGCCACAACUUUCAAACGAAAACCUAAAGAUCCUGUGUUGAAGACAGUGGCACCUUAAAAUGCAAGGGCAGUAUCCUUGAGUCCUCAGGUCACCAGAAAGCCACCCGAUCAGGACCAUCGACACUAGACUCUGUGUUAGUGAGAAACAAACUUGUGUUAAGCCAUCAUGAUUUUAAAGUUGUUAGCAGUCAGCUUGCUCCAAUAGGAUGAACACUAAUAAACAUAGCGGUAACAACCUGCUGGGUAGUAUCAUUAUUCUCACUUUGUUGGUGAGGAACUUGAGGCCCAAAAUGGUCAGAAAGUUAGCAGAUGGCAGAGCUGGUAUUUCAAGUCUAUUUUUUAAUCCCUAUCUUGCACUCCUUGGUCACGUAAACCUUGUGUGAAUAUGUUUGAUGCUUUAAUGGAGCAAAGAGGAGAAUAUUAAAAUACCAGGUUUCUUGGGUGGGAUGUGGAGUGAGGAGGAAGAACACAAAACGGAAAGGCUCCACGCAUCAGAAGCCAAGCUUUGGGCACUCCACAGUUUUGCUAAAGACUUCCCUGUCUGCUCACAUCUGGUCUGUUCCCCA